GAUGAACGCUGGCGGCGUGCCUAAUACAUGCAAGUCGAGCGAACAGAUGAGGAGCUUGCUCCUCUGACGUUAGCGGCGGACGGGUGAGUAACACGUGGAUAACCUACCUAUAAGACUGGGAUAACUUCGGGAAACCGGAGCUAAUACCGGAUAAUAUAUUGAACCGCAUGGUUCAAUAGUGAAAUACGGUUUUUCUGUCACUUAUAGAUGGAUCCGCGCCGCAUUAGCUAGUUGGUAAGGUAACGGCUUACCAAGGCAACGAUGCGUAGCCGACCUGAGAGGGUGAUCGGCCACACUGGAACUGAGACACGGUCCAGACUCCUACGGGAGGCAGCAGUAGGGAAUCUUCCGCAAUGGGCGAAAGCCUGACGCAGCAACGCCGCGUGAGUGAUGAAGGUCUUCGGAUCGUAAAACUCUGUUAUUAGGGAAGAACAAAUGUGUAAGUAAAUAUGCACGUCUUGACGGUACCUAAUCAGAAAGCCACGGCUAACUACGUG
Molecule: ribosomal RNA, 497 nt
Filed under: uncultured bacterium
Lineage: Bacteria
Description: partial 16S ribosomal RNA
Rfam family: Bacterial small subunit ribosomal RNA
Source: RNAcentral